GUCAAAUUGUGAAUUAUUCACUGAACUAUGACUAUGGGUUGUAGAUUGUUCAUAUGGGUAAGUUUGUUGGUUUGGUCGUGACAUAUUUUCAUUAUCACCAUUUAUUUGUACUUUAUUAGAUUGGUGAUUAUAUUGGUUAUCACCACAUCCAGUUGAAUGUUGUGAAUAAUUAUUUACUAUAUUUUGUCGUAUUUCAGAUAAUGCCUGACCUUCUGCCAAAGUAGAACGCCUUGUGCCUGUGAUUAGUCUAAUGUUGAGU
RNAcentral lists this long non-coding RNA (259 nucleotides) under Mytilus galloprovincialis (Mediterranean mussel). Lineage: Eukaryota; Metazoa; Mollusca; Bivalvia; Mytilida; Mytilidae. The record is from RNAcentral.